RNAcentral lists this ribosomal RNA (1306 nucleotides) under uncultured bacterium. RNAcentral describes it as "bacterial SSU rRNA". It matches the Rfam family "Bacterial small subunit ribosomal RNA", at positions 28 to 1381 of the family's 1533-position model. The record is from RNAcentral.
AACGUACGCUGGCGGCACGCCUAACACAUGCAAGUCGAACGAAGUAGCAAUACUUAGUGGCAGACGGGUGAGUAACAUGUAGGUAUCUGCCCUUUGGCCUGGAAUAACACGAGGAAACUUGUGCUAAUACCGGAUAAGUCUUUACGGAGAAAGCUUUAUGCACCAUUGGAUGAGCCUGCACUUGAUUAGUUUGUUGGUGGGGUAAUGGCCUACCAAGACUGUGAUCAAUAGCUGAUUUGAGAGGAUGAUCAGCCACAUUGGGACUGAGACACGGCCCAAACUCCUACGGGAGGCAGCAGUGGGGAAUCUUGCACAAUGGAGGAAACUCUGAUGCAGCGAUGCCGCGUGAGUGAAGAAGGCCCUUGGGUUGUAAAGCUCUUUCGUCGGGGAAGAAAAUGACUGUACCCGAAUAAGAAGGUCCGGCUAACUUCGUGCCAGCAGCCGCGGUAAUACGAAGGGACCUAGCGUAGUUCGGAAUUACUGGGCUUAAAGAGUUCGUAGGUGGUUGAAAAAGUUAGUGGUGAAAUCCCAGAGCUUAACUCUGGAACUGCCAUUAAAACUUUUCAGCUAGAGUAUGAUAGAGGAAAGCAGAAUUUCUAGUGUAGAGGUGGAAUUCGUAGAUAUUAGAAAGAAUACCAAUUGCGAAGGCAGCUUUCUGGAUCAUUACUGACACUGAGGAACGAAAGCAUGGGUAGCGAAGAGGAUUAGAUACCCUCGUAGUCCAUGCCGUAAACGAUGUGUGUUAGACGUUGGAAAUUUAUUUUCAGUGUCGCAGGGAAACCGAUAAACACACCGCCUGGGGAGUACGACCGCAAGGUUAAAACUCAAAUGAAUUGACGGGGACCCGCACAAGUAGUGGAGCAUGUGGUUUAAUUCGAAGAUACGCGCAGAACCUUACCAACACUUGACAUGUUCGUCGCGACUCUAAGAGAUUAGAGUUUUCGGUUCGGCCGGACGAAACACAGGUGCUGCAUGGCUGUCGUCAGCUCGUGUCGUGAGAUGUUGGGUUAAGUCCCGCAACGAGCGCAACCCUCACUUUUAGUUGCCAUCAUUAAGUUGGGCACUCUGAAAGAACUGCCAGUGAUAAGCUGGAGGAAGGUGGGGAUGACGUCAAGUCCUCAUGGCCCUUACGUGUUGGGCUACACACGCGCUACAAUGGUAUCUACAACAGGAAGCAAAACUGCGAAGUUAAGCAAAUCCCUAAAAGAUACCUCAGUUCGGAUUGCACUCUGCAACUCGAGUGCAUGAAGCUGGAAUUACUAGUAAUCGUGGAUCAGCGUGCCACGGUGAAUGCGUUCCCGGGUCU